GACGAACGCUGGCGGCGUGGAUUAGGCAUGCAAGUCGAACGGUAUCAUCCUUUCGGGGGUGAGAGAGUGGCGAACUGGUGAGUAACACGUAGGUUAUCUACCCUCAAGACGGGGACAACCCAGGGAAACUUGGGCUAAUACCGGAUGUGAGCAACUUUUAGUUGUUUGAAAGGUGGCGUAAGCUGUCGCUUGGGGAUGAGCCUGCGUCCUAUUAGUUAGUUGGUGAGGUAACGGCUCACCUAGGCAAUGAUAGGUAGGCGGCCUUAACGGGUGGUCGCCCACACUGGGAUUGAGAUACGGCCCAGACUCCUACGGGAGGCAGCAGUCGAGAAUAGUCUACAAUGGUCGGAAGACUGAUAGUGCGACGCCGCGUGAACGAUGAAUCCCUUCGGGGUGUAAAGUUCUUUUAUAUGUGAGCAGUGCUUCUUAUAUUAACAGUAUGGGGAGAGAGAUAUUAGCAUAUGAAUAAGCAACGGCUAACUCCGUGCCAGCAGCCGGCGGUAAAACGU
RNAcentral lists this ribosomal RNA (509 nucleotides) under uncultured bacterium. RNAcentral describes it as "bacterial SSU rRNA". It matches the Rfam family "Bacterial small subunit ribosomal RNA", at positions 28 to 528 of the family's 1533-position model. The record is from RNAcentral.